GUCGGAGUUCUGAGCUGGCACCACUGACAUGGCUAACAGGACAAACUCCUCUGAGUAUUUCUGGUCUUAUGAAUAUUACUGGGAUUACAUAGAUCCGAUUCCAGUAGAUGGAAGCAAGUUGGAGGUUAAUAAAUACUCCAUCGUCAUUGCCUUUUGGGUCGGCCUUGCUGCAUUCGUGACGUUUCUUUUCCUUAUUUUAUUGUGUAUGUCCUGCUCUGGAUCAAUGCCAGCAAACACGGCUACGAACGGGCGCGCAGGGUCGGGCAGGAGCUCAUUAGGCAGUGACUGCACUCGCGCUAAUUAAUGGUCAUGAGAGCACCCAGGGCAGCUCCCGGGACUGAGCGCUUGCCACCGGAAUGUGUUGGAAUCACUGUGCGAUCCCAGCGGUUCAAGAUGUCAGUAAUGUUUUUUUAAAAGACAGCUACCAAGGAGUGGUGGAAGAAAACAAUAAAUAGUAUUGCCUAUCUCCUGUCAGUGUCUUUGCCUUUUGUGAUGUUGGCUGGCUCCAAGGGG
Sturnus vulgaris (Common starling) is the source of this 513-nucleotide non-coding RNA. The record is from RefSeq and is a predicted model, not a curated record. NCBI's taxonomy places the organism in Eukaryota, Metazoa, Chordata, Aves, Passeriformes, Sturnidae.